Molecule: ribosomal RNA, 274 nt
Filed under: uncultured bacterium
Lineage: Bacteria
Description: partial 16S ribosomal RNA
Rfam family: Bacterial small subunit ribosomal RNA
Source: RNAcentral
AUACGGAGGGUGCGAGCGUUAAUCGGAAUUACUGGGCGUAAAGCGUACGUAGGCGGUUGGUUAAGUUAGAUGUGAAAGCCCCGGGCUUAACCUGGGAACUGCAUUUAAAACUGGCGAACUAGAGUUGAGUAGAGGGGAGUGGAAUUUCAGGUGUAGCGGUGAAAUGCGUAGAGAUCUGAAGGAACACCAGUGGCGAAGGCGACUCCCUGGACUCGAACUGCCGCUGAGGUACGAAAGCGUGGGUAGCAAACGGGAUUAGAAACCCCAGUAGUCC